CACAAUUCUGAGGUGGAAGAAAUGGGGAACACCAGGCCUGGCCUCAUGGAGACCGGGGAGUCAGAACCUGAGCUCUGGCUCCUGGAGCUGCUGCGAGUGAGUGGUGGAAACCUGCCCCCUUAGAGAAGCUGCAGCUGAUCAGCAUCAUGCAAGGGACUGCUGAGAUGGUAGCAUGCUGGUAAUGAAGUGUUAUGGAGCCACUCCAUCCUUUAUUCAUCCUUUUCCUCAUACACACAGAGAGCAAAGCACAGGAACCAGCUACAGAAUUUGCAAGUGGAGAAUCCAGUGGGUGGGCCUUCUCCAAUCAGGCCUUAAGAGCAAAGACCAUGGUUUCUCAAAGAAAGAAUUUUCCUCAAGACUGCAACAUAGAGACCUUGCCUGAGUUUCCAGCCUGAUACCCUGAAGAAUUUGGACUCAAGACUGCAAUAUCAGCUCUUUCCUGAAUUUCUAGCCUGCUGGCCUGCCCUACAGAUUUUAGAUCUCCC
Molecule: long non-coding RNA, 485 nt
Filed under: Homo sapiens (human)
Lineage: Eukaryota; Metazoa; Chordata; Mammalia; Primates; Hominidae
Description: non-protein coding lnc-BEND6-1:3
Source: RNAcentral